CCUAUUUCCUAUCCAAAUCACCAAAUUUUGUUGUUUUGUUUGUUUCCAAAGAAGAGAACUGCUUUGGAUACAGUGGACCUGAGAAACUGGACACAAUUUUUUAGAGCUGGACUUCUGAAAGCAAAGACUUAUGCAGGAAGGUUGAAAACAAGAUUAUUCUCCACAGAAUAAGCACUGAGGUACUAUUCUGGAGGAAAGGCAGUAUAAUUGUAUCAGAAGAACUUUCAGCACAACUAACAAGAAGAAUUUGUCAGUAUGCGCAACUACAAUGACAGCCUCUCCAAAUUCAAAAAUAAAUUUACAUAUUUUUAUCUACAGUAAGAGACCUUUGCUGCUUUCCUACUCCAGGAUCUGCUCUUCCUCUUCCAAAAUGAUUUCCUAAUAAAGCAUUUCUGAAAGAAGCUUGGACUUGCAACUCAUUGACUUCAAGAUACACUCCAAAUGAGGGUCCUUUUUCUCACUUUCCCAGGGACACAUAGCUACCAGAUACC
This 491-nucleotide long non-coding RNA is filed under the name Coturnix japonica (Japanese quail). RNAcentral describes it as "lncRNA (ENSCJPG00005011589.1)". The record is from RNAcentral. Lineage: Eukaryota; Metazoa; Chordata; Aves; Galliformes; Phasianidae.